AUACGUAGGUGGCAAGCGUUGUCCGGAUUUAUUGGGCGUAAAGCGAGCGCAGGUCGGAAGUUCUGAUGUGAAAGCCUUCGGCUCAACCGAAGAAGUGCAUCGGAAACUGGGAAACUUGAGUGCAGAAGAGGACAGUGGAACUCCAUGUGUAGCGGUGAAAUGCGUAGAUAUAUGGAAGAACACCAGUGGCGAAGGCGGCUGUCUGGUCUGUAACUGACGCUGAGGCUCGAAAGUAUGGGUAGC
This 243-nucleotide ribosomal RNA is filed under the name uncultured bacterium. Its description in RNAcentral is "partial 16S ribosomal RNA". It matches the Rfam family "Bacterial small subunit ribosomal RNA", at positions 523 to 769 of the family's 1533-position model. The record is from RNAcentral.